Long non-coding RNA from Acanthopagrus latus (yellowfin seabream), 961 nucleotides. RefSeq lists it as uncharacterized. Lineage: Eukaryota; Metazoa; Chordata; Actinopteri; Spariformes; Sparidae. The transcript has 3 exons. The record is from RefSeq and is a predicted model, not a curated record.
CUCCAGUUCACCAGGGCAAAGUUCCUGGUCAGGAAAGCAGAAUCAAAACACACUCACGGGUACGUGGUGCAGUAACCAGAAACCCAGGCAGGAAAUGAGAUUGCAUGCCACCAACAGCCAUCCAAUUGUCAGUCUGUCCAACCUGCUGCUACCUGGUGAGAGAUACACUACUAUCUGCUGCCCUGCAGUAUCUGAUUUCACCAUUUUCACCUCCCCCGUGGAGUUUAUCUUUCCACCUGUGUAAGUUAGUUGGUUGGUUGGUCUGUCAGCAGGAUUGUACAAAAACUACAAAACUGAUGUCCAGGAAACUUGGAUGGAGGAUGGAUCUGGGCCAAGAACAGAGCCUGUUAACUUCUGGUGUGGAUCUGAAAUAAAGGAACAGAUCCAGGAUUUUUCUUGAUCUGCCGUAUUUGGAUGUGUGUAUGAGCGGCAGCAGGGUGAACCGGGAUGGGUUCAGGCUGAGCAGACACCUCACCUCUCCGAUGUCACUGAUGCUCUGCCAGUUUGUGAUGUUUCCUGUCAGAAGUCUAUCGCUUGUCUGCAAAAGUUGACAAGAACUUGGCACAGAGCCCUGAAGGACCCCUUUCCUCAAGAAGUAGCUACAGCUUCUGAAUGCAGCGCUUCAGCAGCCAGGUGGAAAAUGACAAGGAACAAAUGAUAGCACAGCAGAAGCCUGGCUGAAAGCUAUUUCAAACCUCGAGAUGAAAGUAGUCCAGCUCGUCUCAUAUGGGUCAUUUUUCCGCUACAAGAGAAAAUGACUCUUUCAGGAGCUUCAUCAAAUAGGUUCCUCUGUACUCCACUGACAUUUUUCAUUACUCCUCUGACAUGGAUUCAUAAUCAUGACAUUUUACUUUGUGUUGUUUUUAUGUGAUAUUGCAAUUCACCUAAUGUCUUUGGUGGCUGUACAGUGAUUUAAACCUCUUAAACCUUCUACGUCUAUUUUAUAUAAAGUGAUCUACUU